This 1349-nucleotide ribosomal RNA is filed under the name metagenome. Its description in RNAcentral is "bacterial SSU rRNA". It matches the Rfam family "Bacterial small subunit ribosomal RNA". The record is from RNAcentral.
AUUUAGCGGCAAACGGGUGAGGAAUACGUGGUACUUACCCCCAAGUCAGGGAUAGCCCACCGAAAGGUGGAUUAAUACCGGAUGUGGCCUACGGGUCAAAGCAGUAAUGCGCUUGGGGAGAGGCCUGCGUCCUAUCAGCUAGUUGGUGAGGUAAAAGCUCACCAAGGCAAUGACGGGUAAUUGGUCUGAGAGGACGGCCAGUCACAAUGGAACUGAGACACGGUCCAUACUCCUACGGGAGGCAGCAGUGAGGAAUCUUCCGCAAUGGGCGAAAGCCUGACGGAGCGACGCCGCGUGAAGGAUGAAGGGUUUAUUCUUGUAAACUUCUUUUUUGAGGGAAGAUAAUGACGGUACCUCAAGAAUAAGGGACGGCAAACUACGUGCCAGCAGCCGCGGUAAUACGUAGGUCCCAAGCGUUAUCCGGAAUUACUGGGUGUAAAACGUCUGUAGGUGGAUUGUUAAGUCUUGUAUGAAAGACCGGAGCUCAACUCCGUGUUUGUACGGGAAACUGGCUAUCUAGAAUCAGGGAGAGGCAAGCAGAAUUAUGUGAGUAGGGGUGCAAUCCGUAGAUACACAUAAGAAUACCAAAAGCGAAGGCAGCUUGCUGGAACUGUAUUGACACUGAGAGACGAAAGCGUGGGGAGCGAAAAGGAUUAGAUACCCUUGUAGUCCACGCCCUAAACGAUGGUAGCUAAGUGUCGGGCCUUGUGCUCGGUGCUGAAGCAAACGCAUUAAGCUACCCACCUGAGAAGUACGGCCGCAAGGUUAAAACUCAAAUGAAUAGACGACGACCCACACAAGCAGUGGAUCAUGUGGUUUAAUUCGACAAUAAACGAGGAACCUUACCCAGACUUGACAUCCUAGGAAUCCUGCCGAAAGGUAGGAGUGCCCGCAAGGGAGCCUAGAGACAGGUGCUGCAUGGUUGUCGUCAGCUCGUGCCUUGAGGUGUUCGGUUAAGUCCGUCAACGAGCGCAACCCACGUCGUUAGUUACUAUGUCUAACGAGACUGCCCGAGUUAAUCGGGAGGAAGGUGUGGAUGACGUCAAAUCAGCAUGGCCCUUAUGUCUGGGGCCACACACAUGAUACAAUGGUCGGUACAAUGAGUAGCGAUGGAGCGAUCCGGAGCCAAUCUCAUCAAAGCCGAUCUCAGUCCAGAUCGGGGUCUGCAACUCGACCCCGUGAAGUUGGAAUUGCUAGUAAUCGUGAAUCAGCCAUGUCACGGUGAAUAUGUUCCUGGGUCUUGUACUCACCGCCCGUCACAGCAUGGGGGGUGUUUCUAUCGGAAGCUCCUGCAGUAAUAGCGGGAACCAUGGUAAAAACACUGACUGGGCUGAAGUCGUAACAAGGUA